This is a long non-coding RNA of Oncorhynchus tshawytscha (Chinook salmon), 2297 nucleotides long. RefSeq lists it as uncharacterized. NCBI's taxonomy places the organism in Eukaryota, Metazoa, Chordata, Actinopteri, Salmoniformes, Salmonidae. The record is from RefSeq and is a predicted model, not a curated record. The transcript has 3 exons.
UGAAAGGAGAGGUGGAGGAGCUGAAAGGAGAGGUAGAGGAGCUGAAAGGAGAGGUGGAGGAGCUGAAAGGAGAGGUGGAGGAGCUGAAAGGAGAGGUGGAGGAGCUGCAGAAAGGUGGUGAACCAGAGAGUGGAGAUGAGUCACUAAGACUGAACUGGACUUCCACACACCCAGAAGUUACCUCUGGCCUUAUUACUUUGAUGUAGAAAGAAGCUGUUUGUUUCAUCAACACUUCAUUUGCAUUUUCUUUACAUGACAUUUUAGCACUAGAUGGCAGAUGGACAGCCAGUGAGAGCCAGGUGGAGGAGCUGAAGACAGAGAACAGAGGGAAAGUAAGACAGCUACAUGUCAUUUGAUUACUUUCAUCAACAAAGACAUGGUUUGUUGAAGUCAUCAACAGUUUAUUUGUAUUGUUACAUGAUAUCCUUGACUUGGGACCAGAGUGACAGUCAGGGGAGGAGCUGAAGACAGAGAAUGCAUGAAAGACAUGGAUAUUCAUAUACUUAUAAAGGGAUUUGAAGGCUUGUUUAUGUGAACUAUUUACAACAAGUUUUUGUGUUUUAUUCAAUAUCGGUCAGAAAGUCUAUAUUUUUUAUAUUGUUGCAGUUUUGGGGGGUAGAGUGACAGCCACAGAGAGAGGUGGAGGACCUGAAAACAGUAAAUUCAGAGACACCAAAGGUGGCAUUCUCUGCUGCUUUAGGUUGCUUCACAGCACCAGUGAGAGGACUCUACUUCUUCAGAUUCACAAGCCAUGGUGACAGCUCAUCAUCUUACGUGGGUGCAGCCUUGUACAGAAAUGACCAGAUAAUGAUUUAGGUGCAUCAGUAUAACUAUGGAUGGGAUCAGGAUGUAUCCAGUGCUGUAACUCUAGAGCUGGAGGAGGUGGAUUUGGUCUACCGCGCCUCUACUCUACUUACAGAUUACAUGAUGACUCAAAAAAACACAACAUCUUCAGUGGUCUUCCCUAUGUAAUGAUGCAAAAUGAUGCCUGGACAUGGGGUACUCUGAGCUCCGAUUGUUUCUGUAUACAAAAAAAUGAAGUAUUUUUGUCAUUUACUGUCAGUGUUGAAUUUCGUUUAGGAAAAGAUCUGCUCAUUUUAAAAAUUCUACACAUCUGAUGAAUGGUGUUGAGUAAGUGAGGGAAGAGGAUUUUGAGUUUGCACUUUUGAAGAAAGAGAGAAAGAAAUUUUUAAAAAGAAGGAAAGAGAGAGAGAGAGAGAGAGUUGGGGUGAGAGGGGGGAUGAGAGAGAGGAAGGAGGUAGAUUUGUAAGAGCUCAGCUGUGUCCUUCAGAUGUAACUCUGUCCCUCUGUGGGGAGCAGCUGCACCAUGGCACACACACAGGCCUGGGCUAGAUUCAAGAUUACAACGCUCUGCAAUGUUUCUAUUUUCUGUUUACCAUAAUACAGAGGAGGCUGCUGGGAGCAGCUAGAGGAGGACGGGUGCACUGGAAUGGCUGGAAUGGAAUAAAUGGAACGGAGUCAAACGUGUUGUUUCCAUAUGUUUGACAUGUUUGAUACCGUUCCAUUAAUACUGUACCAUUUCAGCCAUUACAAGGAGCCCUUCCUCCUAUAGCUCCCCCCACCAGCCUCCUCUGCCGUAAAGCUUAGUAACAUUUCGCUCUGUAGCACUAUGGUUUAACUUAGACAACCUUACGAAAACCACCACUGACAGAUGCUCAUUCAGUAAUAGCAUACAGUAGGCCUGUAUACAACACAAACACCAUAAUACACAGUUAUGUUGUGACUUUUGGCUAAUUAAUAUUCAAGAUAAUGUAUUGAUUAAUUACUGGAAUAAUUAAAUUAGCUGAUUUAUUUGGUUAAUCCUAUCCAAAUUAUUAUUAGAGGGGCACCAUUAAGGGUUGGAUGUAGAGAAACCCUUUAAUUAACUCUAUCAGUAGUAGUUGUUAAACGUUAUACCAUUAAUUGCUAUAUCAACAAUAUAAUCCAGUCAAUUUGACUAUAUUCUUAUUCUGAAUAGCCGAUAAACUCUGGCGCCUGGAAGACUUGCUGAUAAUCCCACGUAACACGUGAGUCAGGAAUGAUGAUUGGCUGAGAGUGUCAGUCUUUUCGUAACACGUGAGUCAGGAAUGGUGAUUGGCUGAGAGUGUCAGUCUUUUGACACUCAGAGUGGUAAAACGGGAAGAAAGAGUUUAGUUUUUACCUUGUGAUAGGGCGUAAACUACUCCGUGAAAGGAAGGUCUGACCCCCUUUCACCCCAUUUAAUGCAGGCAGAGGGAAUAUCUGUUCUCCAACACUUACCACUGAAGGGCCUUUGUCAAUAAAAACCUGUAAAUGUU